Molecule: long non-coding RNA, 3629 nt
Organism: Panthera uncia (snow leopard)
Lineage: Eukaryota; Metazoa; Chordata; Mammalia; Carnivora; Felidae
Exons: 3
Source: RefSeq, a predicted model, not a curated record
UGGCGAGCGGCGGGCAGCGGGCGGGUCGGGCUCUGGCCCCGCGGGCGCUGUGCUUGGCGGGGAAUUUAUCUUCCCUUCCUGGGGAGGAAAAAAAAAGAGAGAGAGAGAGAAAAUCAAGUCGCAGCCGGCUUGGGCCGGUGUUGCGGGCGGGCGUGGGAGACGCUGAGGCUGCGAGGGCUUCCCCAGCUGUUUCCAACUGACCCAAGUGUGAAGUGAGGUGUGAACAGGCAGGCCUCUGACUGAGCCCGAGCCCACUGACUGCCCAGGAGAGAGGCCCUUGAGGACCUGGCCUGCAACAGACUGGCUGGAGGGUCCCCCACUGACUGAGGCCGUCCUGCCCGAAAGUCAGGAAACACAGGGGCCCUGGUUGUGUAAUAAGAGUACAUUUGAAAAAUGCCUUGUCCUUAUCUGAAAACCCAGAUGGAAGAAUACCAGCCCUGAAGUUGCUUUUCUUAAAACUGAGACCAGCUGGGAAGUGGUAUGGGUCUCUGAACUUGGCAUGCACUGGCACCACAAAAGGUCUCUGCUGGUGUUUGCCUGUGAUGACAAAGAUGGCAAGUAUGACAGCAGUCGGGAAGCUGUAACUGUGAAGCUGUUGGGGGGUCCUAAUGACUCCUGAUAGGAGGACCUGGUGUAGGGAGAGGAGGCACUGGCAGAGGCCUUCCUUUGUGUAUUAGUUUGGCCUUGGAUUCCUGGAGUUGGUAUGCGUCUUAAAUAUUUGUAAAUUGGCUGCCUGAAUAUCUUUUGCAGGAGAAGGAAAUUGUCAACUUCCUAUUUCCCCAGCCUGAGGGAGGCCCCUCAUUUGAGAAUGGUGGCAUAAAAUUACCACAGGUCGGUGGGCUGGCUGCAGCAUUAGGUUCUGAUAGAGGAUCUCUUGAAAUUCUAUGCCAGGGUUUUGAGAGAGUGGUUUUAUUAGUGCCUUUGACCUCUUUCCUUAGGAGUGACUUUGUUGGGCUUGCUGCUGCUUGCAUAUAUCAAAAUUCAGUGGAGUAGGUAGGGAAGGGGAGGAAUAAGUAUAGAGUUUUUUAAAAUUAAAAAAGAUAUUCUCAAAAAUUUUAUAUAUUAUGUUAUAUAAUUUAUAUAUUAUAAAAUAUAUGUUUUAUAACAUAUACGUUUUGAGAAUUGAGCAUUUAAUAAAAGUGACCUAGUUCUAAGGUUUUUAAAAGUCAUUACAGGGAGAUUUUGUGGUUUUGCAUUUUUUUUUAAAUCUCAGAAAUAGGGUUUAAAGAUUACUAUAAUUCUUUCAUUAGUGUUGUAACCAAGAACUCCAUGAAAUGCAUGAAGUGUGAAAUGAAGUACACGGGCUACAGCAAUCUUUAAAAGUUAUCAGUUGUUGGGGUGCCUGGGUGGCUCAGUCAGUUAAGCGUCCGACUUCGGCUCAGGUCAUGAUCUCGCGGUUCGUGAGUUCAAGCCCCGCGUCGGGCUCUGUGCUGACGCUCGGAGCUCAGAGCCUGGAGCCUGUUUCAGAUUCUGUGUCUCCCUCUCUCUCUCUGACCCUCCCCCGUUCAUGCUCUGUCUCUCUCUGUCUCAAAAAUAAAUAAACGUUAAAAAAAAAAGAAAAAAAAGAAAAAAAUAAAAAGAAAAAAAAAGUUAUCAGUUGUUUAUGUGUGUGUAUGUAUACCAGGCCUCAUUCUAUGAAGGGUUUAUGAUGGAUUAUGACAAACACUGAGGAAAUUACUAAAAUACAAGUAUGAAAUAUAAAAUCAGGCUAAGACAAAUAUAAAUUAGAAUAGAAAAUAAAGACUGGGGCAGGCAGAGAAAUUGAAGAGAAAUAUGCAAAGAGUUAAGGACCUAACUGAAUAAUUGAAUUAAAAUUUUAGUUCUGAGUUCCUCUGGCAAAGUGAAGAGGGGAUAAGUCAGUUAGCUAACUUUUAUUAUUAGGAAGAAAAACACAGGGGUGCCUGUGGCUCAGCUGGUUAAGUGCCUGACUCUUGGUUUUGGCUCAGGUCAUGAUUUUGCAGUUGGUGCGUUCGAGCCCCGCAUCAGGCUCCAUGUUGACAGUGUGGAGCUUGUUUGGGAUUCUUUCUCUCCCUCUCUCUCUGUGCUUCCCUCCCUAUCUCUCUCUCAAAAAAAAAUAAGUGAACUUAAAAAGAAAAAAAGAGGGGCACCUGUGUGGCUUAGUUGGUUAAGCAUUGACUUUGGCUCAGAUCAUGAUCUCAUGGCUUGUGAGUUAGAGCUCAGAGCCUGGGGCCCGCUUUGGAUUUUGUGUCUCUGUCUUUCUCUGUCACUCCCCUGCUUAUGUUCUGUCUCUGUCUCUCUCUCAAAAAUAAACAAACAUUAAAAAAAAUUAAAGAAAAACACAUACCAGUUCCUAAGAGAAAGCAAAACUUUUGUUAGCUCUUACCUCCAAAAGAGAUGGCUCAUGUAGGUUUUUUUAACAAAAGUAUUUUGGCAUAAAAAAGAAACCAAAACCAAAAUAUUCAUAGAAAAGAUUUGAAAAGGAAGAUAAGCAAAAAAAAAAGGACAAAAAUUGUCCGUAAACAUAACCCUGUGAGAUAACCACUACAUUUUGUUUAUUUGUUUUUUUAUUAAAAAAAAUUUUUUUUAACGUUUAUUUAUUUUUGAAACAGAGAGAGACAGAGCAUGAACAGGGGAGGGUCAGAGAGAGGGAGACACAGAAUCUGAAACAGGCUCCCGGCUCUGAGCUGUCAGCACAGAGCCCAAUGCGGGGCUCGAAUUCGCGGACUGCGAGAUCAUGACCUGAGCCGAAGUCGGACGCCCAACUGACUGAGCCACCCAGGUGCCCCAACCACUACAUUUUGGCAUAUAUCUUUUCAGGACUUUUCCUGUGAUCAAAUUUGCAUGUAAAAAUACAUAUUUGUUUUAUCUUCAUAAAAAUCUUUUGAGGGGUUGACAAAGCAAGUGUGGCAAGAUAAGUCAUACAGUUGUAAGCAAUAUAUAGCCAAAAUGUAAGCAAAAAUCCAGUAACUGUUAAUAGACCAUUUUCAUUUAUUGGGCAUUUCUUAUGUGCUUGGUACUGUAAUAAGGACCUUAAGUAAGCUGCCACCAAGUUGUCCCAACAGAUCUCUUUCAGAUUCAGCAUUACUCGUAUUGUAUGGCUUCAGGCAAAUUAAGUCACUCAAGGUUACACUAUUAAGUGACAGUAUUCAGGACUAGGUUUAUCUAAAAGUCUGUAUUCUUCUAUUGUGAUAGGUCACUCUGUCUCUGCAAAUAUUGCCAUUCUCAUUUUACAGAUGGGUAACCCAUGGCUCUGGGAAGUUGACUAUUGCCCUAGACUAGUGAGCUAUGGAGUACUCCUUCUCGGAGUCUCAGAGUACUGACUUUGCUCCUGCCCUGAGAAGAGUCCCUUCCCACCUUUUGUGAAGAGUGUUGUAAACUAGCUUGCUACCACUUUAUGUUGGCAGGAUGUUGCUGUUCAGAUGCCAGGGGAACACUUAUUCUGAUGGUUUCUGUGAAAUGUCAGUGAGAGGAAACUUGGAUGUAUUGGUUCUUUUUAAAAACUUUUUAAAUGUUUAUUUAUUUUUUUGAGAGAGAGAAAGAGCACAAGUGGGGAAAGGACAGAGAGAGAGGGAGACACAGAAUCUGAAGCAGGCUCCAGGCUCUGAGCUGCCAGCACAGAACCUGACGUGGGGCUCAAACCCACGAACUGUGAGAUCAUGAGCUGAGCU